RNAcentral lists this ribosomal RNA (489 nucleotides) under Salmonella enterica subsp. enterica serovar Bovismorbificans. RNAcentral's name for it is "bacterial SSU rRNA". It matches the Rfam family "Bacterial small subunit ribosomal RNA", at positions 778 to 1270 of the family's 1533-position model. The record is from RNAcentral. Lineage: Bacteria; Pseudomonadati; Pseudomonadota; Gammaproteobacteria; Enterobacterales; Enterobacteriaceae.
UUAGAUACCCUGGUAGUCCACGCAGUAAACGAUGAUCACUAGCUGUUUGCGAUACACUGUAAGCGGCACAGCGAAAGCGUUAAGUGAUCCACCUGGGGAGUACGCCGGCAACGGUGAAACUCAAAGGAAUUGACGGGGGCCCGCACAAGCGGAGGAACAUGUGGUUUAAUUCGAUGAUACGCGAGGAACCUUACCCGGGUUUGAACGCAUUCGGACCGAGGUGGAAACACCUCUUCUAGCAAUAGCCGUUUGCGAGGUGCUGCAUGGUUGUCGUCAGCUCGUGCCGUGAGGUGUCGGCUUAAGUGCCAUAACGAGCGCAACCCUUGCCACUAGUUACUAACAGGUUAGGCUGAGGACUCUGGUGGGACUGCCAGCGUAAGCUGCGAGGAAGGCGGGGAUGACGUCAAAUCAGCACGGCCCUUACAUCCGGGGCGACACACGUGUUACAAUGGCGUGGACAAAGGGAAGCCACCUGGCGACAGGGAGCGA